Molecule: ribosomal RNA, 223 nt
Filed under: uncultured bacterium
Lineage: Bacteria
Description: partial 16S ribosomal RNA
Rfam family: Bacterial small subunit ribosomal RNA
Source: RNAcentral
CGUGAGCGACCUGCCAUACCUGUGGGGGAUAGCCGGCCCAACGGCCGGGUAAUACCGCAUACGAUCUUUGGGGCGCAUGCCUUGGAGACGAAAGCUCGUAAGGGCGCAGGAUGAGGGGCUCGCGGCCUAUCAGCUUGUUGGCGGGGUAACGGCCCACCAAGGCGAUGACGGGUAGCUGGUCUGAGAGGAUGAUCAGCCACACUGGGACUGAGACACGGCCCAG